This 492-nucleotide ribosomal RNA is filed under the name uncultured bacterium. RNAcentral describes it as "partial 16S ribosomal RNA". It matches the Rfam family "Bacterial small subunit ribosomal RNA", at positions 29 to 507 of the family's 1533-position model. The record is from RNAcentral.
AGUGAACGCUGGCGGUAGGCCUAACACAUGCAAGUCGAACGGCAGCACAGUAAGAGCUUGCUCUUACGGGUGGCGAGUGGCGGACGGGUGAGGAAUACAUCGGAAUCUACUUUUUCGUGGGGGAUAACGUAGGGAAACUUACGCUAAUACCUCAUACGACCUACGGGUGAAAGCAGGGGAUCUUCGGACCUUGCGCGAUUGAAUGAGCCGAUGUCGGAUUAGCUAGUUGGCGGGGUAAAGGCCCACCAAGGCGACGAUCCGUAGCUGGUCUGAGAGGAUGAUCGGCCACACUGGAACUGAGACACGGUCCAGACUCCUACGGGAGGCAGCAGUGGGGAAUAUUGGACAAAGGGCGCAAGCCUGAUCCAGCCAUACCGCGUGGGUGAAGAAGGCCUUCGGGUUGUAAAGCCCUUUUGUUGGGAAAGAAAAGCAGCAGGUUAAUACCCCGCUGUUCUGACGGUACCCAAAGAAUAAGCACCGGCUAACUUCGUG